This 77-nucleotide transfer RNA is filed under the name Burkholderia cepacia. RNAcentral's name for it is "tRNA-Met". It matches the Rfam family "tRNA". From Rfam's summary of the family: Transfer RNA (tRNA) molecules are approximately 80 nucleotides in length. Their secondary structure includes four short double-helical elements and three loops (D, anti-codon, and T loops). Lineage: Bacteria; Pseudomonadati; Pseudomonadota; Betaproteobacteria; Burkholderiales; Burkholderiaceae. The record is from RNAcentral.
GGGCCUGUAGCUCAGUUGGUUAGAGCCGUCGACUCAUAAUCGAUUGGUCGCUGGUUCAAAUCCAGCCAGGCCCACCA